RNAcentral lists this long non-coding RNA (680 nucleotides) under Homo sapiens (human). Its description in RNAcentral is "non-protein coding lnc-IGDCC4-2:2". Lineage: Eukaryota; Metazoa; Chordata; Mammalia; Primates; Hominidae. The record is from RNAcentral.
AUUGUAUGGGAUGCUCUACAAGCCUCAUGAUCUACAGCCUGGAAAGAAAUAUCCUACUGUGCUGUUCAUAUAUGGUGGUCCUCAGGUGCAGUUGGUGAAUAAUCGGUUUAAAGGAGUCAAGUAUUUCCGCUUGAAUACCCUAGCCUCUCUAGGUUAUGUGGUUGUAGUGAUAGACAACAGGGGAUCCUGUCACCGAGGGCUUAAAUUUGAAGGCGCCUUUAAAUAUAAAAUGGAAGCUUUAAAUGCUACCUUUUAGAGAUGCCCCAUGUCCUUUCUGCUGCUUUGGGAAAUGAUGAGAAUCCGAUGUUCCUUUUGCACAGUAAGGCAGUUACUGUGUUUGCCAGUGUUAUUGGACAUGCUGAGUAAGACAUGGGGAUUUUCUCCCACAGCCAGUUCUUUGACCUUAUGUUGUAUUCUCAUGUAAGUUUUUUUGUUUUUAUUUUUGUUUUUGGCUCAGUGAAGUGAGAUUGCGUGCACUGGCAGGCCUAGUAAUAUAGACAAGGUGGUGGUGGUAGGAAUUAGGACUUUAAAGAAGUAGUAUGUUCAGUUCCUAGAGGUAGUAUAAUAGGGAAAUAAGAAGACAGGGCCUCAAGAGCAAUUCCUUCUGCUUUACUGCACUAAAAAUUAAAAAGGAGAAGUAGGCCAGGUGCAGUGGCUCACGCGUGUAAUCCCAGCACUUU